UUUAAGGGUGCAAGAAAGCAGAAUACUUCUCUACAAUAUAAUGAAGCUUCAAAGAACAUUUAUUAAGUUAACUAAAGAAGGGUUAUCAAAAUCCAUACUAAUAGUCAAAUCCUGUUACAACUUAAAAGGGACUUUCCAAAGUCUUUAGUGGCAGUGGAAUUUUGUACUGAACAUCAUUGAAGUAAAUGGUCCACUGGGCUGGGCCUUUGGACUUUUUGGUUAUAUGGUCUCUGCUGAAAAGGUGUUUUGCUAUAACUGGAUUUGACCUCUUCCAUGUAAGAAGAUCUAAAUAUUAAAUGCAAAGUACUCUGGAAAAUAAGAAAAAAAAAUAGAAAAGUCAUUUAUUCCAAAAUUUAUAGAUAAUCCACACCACAGUAGCCAAUAUAUUUCAACUGUGUCAUUUUUUUCUUUUUUAAUCCUUUUUGAGUAAUUCCAAAAGAGCUGAAUGGAUGCUGGUUGAGACUUUGCAGAACUGGUUAUACUAAUAAUACUCCUACGAAGGCAAGCUCAGGUACUUAAAAAGGCAUACUUUGAGGUCUUGCCAAGUUCAGGGAUAUAGCUUUUCAGAAAGACUAAGAUAAACAAUUUGUGUUAAGCUUAUUACCUGAAAUCAAUUGAGUGUAUGUACUGAGAAUUAUACUGUUUUUUAGAAGAAAACAUUUACUAGUCA
This 670-nucleotide long non-coding RNA is filed under the name Bos taurus (domestic cattle). Its description in RNAcentral is "long non-coding RNA NONBTAT005648". Lineage: Eukaryota; Metazoa; Chordata; Mammalia; Artiodactyla; Bovidae. The record is from RNAcentral.